GGCGGUGUAGCUCAGCUGGUUAGAGCACACGGUUCAUACCCGUGGAGUCGCUGGUUCGAGUCCAGCCACCGCUACCA
RNAcentral lists this transfer RNA (77 nucleotides) under Microcaldota archaeon. Its description in RNAcentral is "tRNA-Met". It matches the Rfam family "tRNA". From Rfam's summary of the family: Transfer RNA (tRNA) molecules are approximately 80 nucleotides in length. RNAcentral also lists the same sequence under 1 other name. Lineage: Archaea; Nanobdellati; Microcaldota. The record is from RNAcentral.